Stegodyphus mimosarum is the source of this 73-nucleotide non-coding RNA. The record is from Rfam. NCBI's taxonomy places the organism in Eukaryota, Metazoa, Arthropoda, Arachnida, Araneae, Eresidae.
GCCUUCGUGGUGUAGUGGUCAGCACACUCGGCGCGUAUUCGAGAAGUCCGGGGUUCGAGUCCCGGUAAGGGCA